AUAAAAUUAGUUAAAUUGAUAUAAUAAUAUAAGUUUGUCAAGCUUAAGUUACCUUUUAGGGUAUUUUAUA
This 70-nucleotide transfer RNA is filed under the name Strahlaxius plectrorhynchus. Its description in RNAcentral is "tRNA-Asp". Lineage: Eukaryota; Metazoa; Arthropoda; Malacostraca; Decapoda; Strahlaxiidae. The record is from RNAcentral.